UGACCUCGGAUCAGGUAGGAAUACCCGCUGAACUUAAGCAUAUCAAUAA
This 49-nucleotide ribosomal RNA is filed under the name Colletotrichum truncatum. Its description in RNAcentral is "partial 28S ribosomal RNA". The record is from RNAcentral. Lineage: Eukaryota; Fungi; Ascomycota; Sordariomycetes; Glomerellales; Glomerellaceae. RNAcentral also lists the same sequence under 9 other names.